Molecule: ribosomal RNA, 366 nt
Filed under: uncultured bacterium
Lineage: Bacteria
Description: bacterial SSU rRNA
Rfam family: Bacterial small subunit ribosomal RNA
Source: RNAcentral
AAUCAACGCUGGCGGCGCGCUUAACACAUGCAAGUCGCACGAGAAAGGGGCAACCUGAGUAAAGUGGCGUACGGGUGAGUAACACGUGGAUAUCCACCCCUUUGUGAGGAAUAACUUUGGGAAACCGAAGCUAAUACCGCACAAGCCCGGGAGGGGAAAGGCAAGCAAUUGCGCAGAGGGAGGAGUCCGCGGUCGAUUAGCUAGUUGGCGGGGUAAUGGCCCACCAAGGCGACGAUCGANAGCCGGCCUGAGAGGGCACACGGCCACACUGGCACUGAAACACGGGCCAGACUCCUACGGGAGGCAGCAGUGGGGAAUCUUGCACAAUGGGCGAAAGCCUGAUGCAGCGACGCCGCGUGAGUGAUG